This 450-nucleotide ribosomal RNA is filed under the name uncultured bacterium. RNAcentral describes it as "partial 16S ribosomal RNA". It matches the Rfam family "Bacterial small subunit ribosomal RNA", at positions 354 to 796 of the family's 1533-position model. The record is from RNAcentral.
GUGGGGAAUAUUGGACAAUGGGCGAAAGCCUGAUCCAGCCAUGCCGCGUGUGUGAAGAAGGUCUUCGGAUUGUAAAGCACUUUAAGUUGGGAGGAAGGGUAGUAACCUAAUACGUUGCUACUUUGACGUUACCGACAGAAUAAGCACCGGCUAACUUCGUGCCAGCAGCCGCGGUAAUACGAAGGGUGCAAGCGUUAAUCGGAAUUACUGGGCGUAAAGCGCGCGUAGGUGGUUCAGUAAGUUGGAAGUGAAAUCCCCGGGCUCAACCUGGGAACUGCUGUCAAAACUGCUGAGCUAGAGUACGGUAGAGGGUGGUGGAAUUUCCUGUGUAGCGGUGAAAUGCGUAGAUAUAGGAAGGAACACCAGUGGCGAAGGCGACCACCUGGACUGAUACUGACACUGAGGUGCGAAAGCGUGGGGAGCAAACAGGAUUAGAUACCCUUGUAGUCC